Molecule: long non-coding RNA, 1034 nt
Organism: Pteropus alecto (black flying fox)
Lineage: Eukaryota; Metazoa; Chordata; Mammalia; Chiroptera; Pteropodidae
Exons: 3
Source: RefSeq, a predicted model, not a curated record
GUGGAAAAGGGAAAGGGAGAGAGGGGGAGAAGGAAAAGAAAAAGAACGAAGGGAAAUAGAGAAAUAGAGAAAGGGACCACAUGUGGGGAAAGGUUGGGGAGAAAAUGAUUAGGAGACAGAGACACCCAAACACGCAAGAUCUGGAAGAAAAGGGAAAUGGGAUUAUUUUCCGUUUUUUGUAUGACAUUUUUGGUGGGGCGGGCGGGAGAGGUGUGUUGUGGGUGACUGUUAUAAUUAAAGGUGUUUUCUGUGAAUUUGAAAAGCUAAAUAACGGUUCAGGAAAACUGAAGGGUUCCUAAGCCAAGCAAAAGAGGGGAAGCUGGGCGUCGGAGGAGCGAAGCCCUAGUGCUGGGUGGACGCCGAGCGGGCGGGAGCGCGGGGCGGACCCUUACUGGCGCGACGGAUGCUGGCCACCCCCAGCGCCCCCAGCCCCUGUCAUCCUACCGCCCGCUGGUAAAACCCGGCCCUUUCCCUCAUCACUCCCGGCAGUGCUUAUUUGACAAGAAAGUUCUCCUUGUGCUGUCGGUAGUGUGCAGCAUCCAGAGGCCCCUCUUGAGACUUCCGCGGCAUUAAGACUUUCUGAUUACUCCUAACUGGACACAGAAGCAGGGUCUAAGUGAGAUACUACUGGUUCCUACCCAUAAGUUAUUGAAGGUCAGGGGUCCCCAACCCCCUGCAGACUGGUAACAAUCCAGAGCCUUUUAGGAACUGGGCCACACAGCAGCAAGUGAGCGGCAGAAGAGCAAGCGAAGCUUCAACUAUAUUUGCAGAUGCUCUCCAGCUCUAGCAUCUGCACCUCAGUUCCACCCUCAGAUCAUUAGGCAUUGGACUCCAGUAGGAACACUGGUCCCUGGUACCAAAAAGAUUGGGGGCUGCUGCUCUAGGUACAUCCAUGUUGUCCCAAAUAGUAAGAUUUCAUUUAUUUUUAUGGCCAGGAAAUAUUACACUUCUUGUGCCACUUCUUCUUUAUCCAAUCAUUUGUUAAUGAGUAUUUAGGUUGCUUCCAUACCUUGACUAUUGUUAAUAAUGCUGUA